Carcharodon carcharias (great white shark) is the source of this 727-nucleotide long non-coding RNA. RefSeq lists it as uncharacterized. The transcript has 6 exons. The record is from RefSeq and is a predicted model, not a curated record. NCBI's taxonomy places the organism in Eukaryota, Metazoa, Chordata, Chondrichthyes, Lamniformes, Lamnidae.
UCACGUCUGACCUGCUGUGCUUGUGGCAGUGUCCGGAGCGUUACAAGCCAUUUACUGCUGUGAACUGAUGUUUACAUGCCUGACUUAUCACAGAGCAUGCUUAACGGACAGGACACACAGCUAGCUCCAGUGGAAAAAGCACCUCAGGAAAUAAAUUUCAGAUUAGGGACUGAGGCCGUAAGAUAAGAGGAGAACUGUUAUAUUUUUCUUUAUUUACUUUCAAGGGAAGAGUAAGGGAACUGGAGCUGUUGCUAAGCGACAGGCCAAGUCCAAUGCAGCUGGAAAUUAGGCUUGGACCAAUGGAAAGCAACGAAACAGAAAUUCACAGUGAAGCAAGUCCAGAGAUCUUUGGCAGACAAAACAAUGGAAAGGAGAUGAGAAGCCCCUGCAGAGAUGCCUCAGCAGGCUGUAGUUGAGCCUGAUUUAAUUACUCUUGAAUGCUAACCAGAAUGCCUACAGUCCCAUGCCAAUGAGGCAGUGAAAGAUAAACGUGCUGAUAAAGAGAAAAAAAAGAAACUUGGAUUCAGAAAACAAAGCUCAUAAGAGGAAAACAAUGGAGCUUUUCCAGGAGAAAUAAAAAGGAAACUCCACAGAAAUUACAGAAAAAAAAUCCAGAGUUUAGAAUUCAUCAAUGGCAGAUGAAUUGUUUCCAACAGGAUCGUCAUCACUAAAGUCUUAUUUUAAAUGACGAACACUGGAAUAGUCCAGCCAACCAAAGGACUUCAUA